UUAAAUCUAUAAAUACUCAUUUCAUCUCUAAAAUUAUGUGAUUUGUACUUUCUAAAAUUCCCUCGAUGGUACUAAUACACUCUUAUAUUUGUAUUGUAAUUAUCAUGUCCUUUUUCUAUGGUUUUUUAAAGUUAAUUUAGAUCCUUAUUCGCUCUAGGUAUAAGUUGAAUGGAAGAGUUUUUUAGCCUUGAUAGAUCUUGAGUACCUGAAUCGCCGAUGAAACAGAGGUUAUUUUCUCGGAAAUUCCACGAAUUGUUCAGGCUUAGAGGUGCAAGGACUUGUGAAAGAGAAGCAUUUGAUUGACCAACGAGUAAUUAGUUUCUCCUCAAGCAUCCCACCACUUUUCUAUUAAAGAAAUACAGGUACGUCUACGCUAUUACUUUUCAUGUCCUUUUACUUAAGAUAUUUAUAUAAAUAUAUAUAAAAAUAAAUAAGAUCCAUCUUUGGUAAUUUUUUUAAAAAUCAAAUCUGUGAAUAUUCAUUUCAUCUCUAAAGUUUUGCGUUUUGUUACUUUUUAAAAUUCCCUCCAUGUUACUAUUACACUCCUAUAUUUGUGUUGUAAUUAUGAUGUCCUUUUUCUAUGGUCUGUUAAAGUUAAUUUAAA
Molecule: long non-coding RNA, 604 nt
Organism: Cucumis sativus (cucumber)
Lineage: Eukaryota; Viridiplantae; Streptophyta; Magnoliopsida; Cucurbitales; Cucurbitaceae
Exons: 2
Source: RefSeq, a predicted model, not a curated record